CGGCCGCGGUAUCCUGACCGUGCAAAGGUAGCAUAAUCAUUUGUUCCUUAAUUAGGGACUUGUAUGAAUGGCCACACGAGGGUUUAACUGUCUCUUACUUUCAAUCAGUGAAAUUGACCUUCCCGUGAAGAGGCGGGAAUAAAAAAAUAAGACGAGAAGACCCUAUGGAGCUUAAAUUAAACUAUUCAUGAAUAAUAAAUUUUGGUUGGGGUGACCUCGGAGUAUAAAACAACCUCCGAACCAAGACUCACUCGUCAAAGUCAAUCAUAUUGAUCAACGGAACAAGUUACCCUAGGGAUAACAGCGCAAUCCUAUUUAAGAGUUCACAUCGACAAUAGGGUUUACGACCUCGAUGUUGGAUCAGGACACCCAAAUGGUGCAGCAGCU
This 387-nucleotide ribosomal RNA is filed under the name Scutisorex somereni. Its description in RNAcentral is "partial 16S ribosomal RNA". It matches the Rfam family "Bacterial large subunit ribosomal RNA", at positions 1928 to 2563 of the family's 2925-position model. Lineage: Eukaryota; Metazoa; Chordata; Mammalia; Eulipotyphla; Soricidae. The record is from RNAcentral.